UACGUAGGGUGCGAGCGUUAAUCGGAAUUACUGGGCGUAAAGCGUGCGCAGGCGGUUUUGUAAGCCAGAUGUGAAAUCCCCGGGCUUAACCUGGGAAUGGCAUUUGGGACUGCAAGGCUGGAGUGUGGCAGAGGAGACUGGAAUUCCUGGUGUAGCAGUGAAAUGCGUAGAUAUCAGGAGGAAUACCGAUGGCGAAGGCAGCCCCCUGGGUCAAGAUUGACGCUCAUGCACGAAAGCGUGGGGAGCAAACAGG
This 253-nucleotide ribosomal RNA is filed under the name uncultured bacterium. Its description in RNAcentral is "partial 16S ribosomal RNA". It matches the Rfam family "Bacterial small subunit ribosomal RNA", at positions 524 to 776 of the family's 1533-position model. The record is from RNAcentral.